Bos taurus (domestic cattle) is the source of this 449-nucleotide long non-coding RNA. The record is from Ensembl. NCBI's taxonomy places the organism in Eukaryota, Metazoa, Chordata, Mammalia, Artiodactyla, Bovidae.
GGCAUGUCAAGGCCACGCAGGCAAGAGAACACAAACAUUCAGCCCAGAUAUGGAGAGGCAGCUGGGUAUUUACAUUACCCAACAGAGCAAAGGUUGCCACUCCUCAAUGCUGCAAAAUGUCUGCCAAAGGAAUGAGGCUAUAUAAUUCCUCUUGGGAUCUUGGUAAAGAGAGUCCACUGCAUUUUAUAAGCAUGGAAAGAAGUCCUGAGCUUCAUACUGACUGGGCCACCACCGAACUGAUGUCUGUGACCAGUGGAAUACCAGAGGCUAAGUAGGUUAGGCCUGGAUUGCCUCAACUAAAUACUAUGGCAGAGAAUGGAUGGCCCAGAGUGGUUAAGAGUAAUGAGGGUUCACAGUUGGAGGUGGUGGUAGAAUCAGUUCCACCCAUAUCAAGUAGUUCCUUAGAAGAGAACCACAAUGUCCACUGCAGAAAAUAAUUUGGAAAGACC